GAAUUUUAAUUUGACACAUUUUAAGCCAGUUUAAUACCCAGUAGCAUUGCAUUUUCAGUGUCAGUGGUGUUAUGUGCCCAUUUCUUCUGCUCUGUAGACAAUCCUGGAUUCACAAGUGAAUAAGCGUACAGGUUUUGUUUAAUGUCACCAGUUGCAGCUCUCCUCUCUCUGAGCUAAUCCUCCUCGCUGACGGCCUCACUCUCUGUCUCCCACGCUUCUAGCACACUAAUGAUUUUGCCCUGUACACGGAGGCCAUUAAGUUUUUCAACCACCCAGAAAGCAUGGUCAGGAUCGCGGUCAGGACUAUCACACUCAAUGUGUACAAAGUGUCAUUGGACAACCAGCACAUGCUACACUACAUCCGGGACAAAACGGCCGUGCCGUACUUCUCCAAUUUGGUCUGGUUCAUCGGCAGCCAUGUCAUCGAGCUGGACAAGUGUGUGCAGACUGAUGAAGAACAUAAAAACAGAGGAAAACUC
Long non-coding RNA from Sinocyclocheilus rhinocerous, 479 nucleotides. RefSeq lists it as uncharacterized. The record is from RefSeq and is a predicted model, not a curated record. NCBI's taxonomy places the organism in Eukaryota, Metazoa, Chordata, Actinopteri, Cypriniformes, Cyprinidae. The transcript is spliced from 4 exons.